GCGGACGGGUGAGUAACACGUGGAUAACCUACCUAUAAGACUGGGAUAACUUCGGGAAACCGGAGCUAAUACCGGAUAAUAUUUUGAACCGCAUGGUUCAAAAGUGAAAGACGGUCUUGCUGUCACUUAUAGAUGGAUCCGCGCUGCAUUAGCUAGUUGGUAAGGUAACGGCUUACCAAGGCAACGAUGCAUAGCCGACCUGAGAGGGUGAUCGGCCACACUGGAACUGAGACACGGUCCAGACUCCUACGGGAGGCAGCAGUAGGGAAUCUUCCGCAAUGGGCGAAAGCCUGACGGAGCAACGCCGCGUGAGUGAUGAAGGUCUUCGGAUCGUAAAACUCUGUUAUUAGGGAAGAACAUAUGUGUAAGUAACUGUGCACAUCUUGACGGUACCUAAUCAGAAAGCCACGGCUAACUACGUGCCAGCAGCCGCGGUAAUACGUAGGUGGCAAGCGUUAUCCGGAAUUAUUGGGCGUAAAGCGCGCGUAGGCGGUUUUUUAAGUCUGAUGUGAAAGCCCACGGCUCAACCGUGGAGGGUCAUUGGAAACUGGAAAACUUGAGUGCAGAAGAGGAAAGUGGAAUUCCAUGUGUAGCGGUGAAAUGCGCAGAGAUAUGGAGGAACACCAGUGGCGAAGGCGACUUUCUGGUCUGUAACUGACGCUGAUGUGCGAAAGCGUGGGGAUCAAACAGGAUUAGAUACCCUGGUAGUCCACGCCGUAAACGAUGAGU
Molecule: ribosomal RNA, 729 nt
Filed under: Staphylococcus aureus
Lineage: Bacteria; Bacillati; Bacillota; Bacilli; Caryophanales; Staphylococcaceae
Description: bacterial SSU rRNA
Rfam family: Bacterial small subunit ribosomal RNA
Source: RNAcentral